RNAcentral lists this ribosomal RNA (509 nucleotides) under uncultured Glomus. Its description in RNAcentral is "SSU rRNA". It matches the Rfam family "Eukaryotic small subunit ribosomal RNA", at positions 569 to 1081 of the family's 1831-position model. Lineage: Eukaryota; Fungi; Glomeromycota; Glomeromycetes; Glomerales; Glomeraceae. The record is from RNAcentral.
AGCAGCCGCGGUAAUUCCAGCUCCAAUAGCGUAUAUUAAAGUUGCUGCAGUUAAAAAGCUCGUAGUUGAAUUUCGGGACCAUCAUGUUGGUCGUGCCUCGGUACGUACUGGCAUUGUUGGUUUCUCCCUUCUGACGAACCAUGAUGUCAUUUAUUUGGUGUUGUGGGAAAUCAGGACUGUUACUUUGAAAAAAUUAGAGUGUUUAAAGCAGGCUCACGCUUGAAUACAUUAGCAUGGAAUAAUGAAAUAGGACGUUUGAUUCUAUUUUGUUGGUUUCUAGGAUCGACGUAAUGAUUAAUAGGGAUAGUUGGGGGCAUUAGUAUUCAAUUGUCAGAGGUGAAAUUCUUGGAUUUAUUGAAGACUAACUACUGCGAAAGCAUUUGCCAAGGAUGUUUUCAUUAAUCAAGAACGAAAGUUAGGGGAUCGAAGACGAUCAGAUACCGUCGUAGUCUUAACCAUAAACUAUGCCGACUAGGGAUCGGAUGAUGUUAAUUUUUAAUGACUCAUUC